RNAcentral lists this ribosomal RNA (468 nucleotides) under uncultured bacterium. RNAcentral describes it as "bacterial SSU rRNA". It matches the Rfam family "Bacterial small subunit ribosomal RNA", at positions 30 to 496 of the family's 1533-position model. The record is from RNAcentral.
AUUGAACGCUGGCGGCAUGCCUUACACAUGCAAGUCGAACGGCAGCACGGGAGCAAUCCUGGUGGCGAGUAGCGAACGGGUGAGUAAUAUAUCGGAACGUGCCCGGUCGUGGGGGAUAACGUAGCGAAAGCUACGCUAAUACCGCAUACGAUCUAUGGAUGAAAGCGGGGGAUCGCAAGACCUCGCGCGAUUGGAGCGGCCGAUAUCAGAUUAGGUAGUUGGUGAGGUAAAGGCUCACCAAGCCGACGAUCUGUAGCUGGUCUGAGAGGACGACCAGCCACACUGGGACUGAGACACGGCCCAGACUCCUACGGGAGGCAGCAGUGAGGAAUAUUGGACAAUGGGCGCAAGCCUGAUCCAGCCAUGCCGCGUGCAGGAUGACGGUCCUAUGGAUUGUAAACUGCUUUUAUACAGGAAGAAACACUCCGACGUGUCGGAGCUUGACGGUACUGUAAGAAUAAGGAUCGG